Molecule: ribosomal RNA, 253 nt
Filed under: uncultured bacterium
Lineage: Bacteria
Description: partial 16S ribosomal RNA
Rfam family: Bacterial small subunit ribosomal RNA
Source: RNAcentral
UACGGAGGGGGCUAGCGUUGUUCGGAAUUACUGGGCGUAAAGCGCACGUAGGCGGAUAGUUAAGUUAGAGGUGAAAGCCCAGGGCUCAACCCUGGAACUGCCUUUAAUACUGGCUGUCUAGAGAUCGAGAGAGGUGAGUGGAAUUCCGAGUGUAGAGGUGAAAUUCGUAGAUAUUCGGAGGAACACCAGUGGCGAAGGCGGCUCACUGGCUCGAUACUGACGCUGAGGUGCGAGAGCGUGGGGAGCAAACAGG